RNAcentral lists this microRNA (21 nucleotides) under Mus musculus (house mouse). Its description in RNAcentral is "mmu-miR-99a-3p". Its record names the gene mmu-miR-99a-3p. Lineage: Eukaryota; Metazoa; Chordata; Mammalia; Rodentia; Muridae. The record is from miRBase by way of RNAcentral.
CAAGCUCGUUUCUAUGGGUCU